AGAAUGAUUUUGUUCAGAAAAUGUAAAGAACAUAUUUUGUUUUAUCCAUAGAUCUGUCCCAACCUGUUCAAGGAAGCCGACUAGGUCACCUGUAAUGAGAAAGUCAGACUUUCUCCAACUGGUCUGUGUUUUUUAAACAGAAACUUCAUUUACUGAACCUGAAGGAAAAUUUAACCAAAUUUACAUUUUCUAUGCCGAAAUCUCUCCCAAAAUAAUACUUUUGCUACACAAAUAACUUAGUGCUGAAUUAUGUUUAAAAAAUAAUUUGUUUGGUUUUAAUAAAUUUAUGAAGUAAUAAAAAAUAGAUUUUUUUUAAUCUAUGCAUGUUAAUUUUCUGACACAUCUAACAGCUAAAAACAGUUUAAAGGUUUCAUUAGAGAUUAGCAGUGCCAUCUGGUGGCCACAUUCGACACUGCAGCUUUAACAAACUGGAUCCAGGUCUGGAAAACUUUCCCAAAAUACUGAAGUUUCUCCUUGAUACAUGAAAUCUUUUUGUUUUAAUCUGCAAUACUUAAAAAUUACAGCAAUAAGAGAUAAAUUGAAGCAAUGUUUAAAUAGGUAAUGAGUAGUUCUUUAGAUAAAUGUGCUAUUUUUGGAUCCCUCAUGAAUAAACGGGGUUCAGUUCUGCCUGUGCAGCUUGGCGGUCAGUGGAGUCCAGCGUCAGCCUGAGAAACCCAUCAGAGACUGAAACCGUCUCCAGCUCUCAUCACUGGGAACUUCAUCCGGUCUGCGUGAACAGGGAAAGGCUCGACCCACAGACGGCCAUGUUCCAAUCACUGAUGAUUGCAGUCGCAGCGAGACAUGGUUUCCACCGGCAACAAAAUCAAUGCAAAAACCACAAAGUUAUUCAAAUAUUAACAAAACCACAAAGUUAUUAAAAUAUUCAUGAGUCACAUCGGUCAGCCAUAACGGGCUGAAAGUUUUGUGAUGGUUCUGGUUGAGAUGCAUCUAAACUUCCUCAGACUUGGUGAACUGUUUGUGGACGUCGUGGCUCGGCUCUGACUGUGAUCUUCAUCGUUAAUAAUCGGAGUGUAAACCGUCCAGCCCUGCAGCAGCCAGCGCCCUUCCCAGUCGACGGCCUUUCCUUCCUGAAAACCUGCCAAAGACUUGCUAAACUUUUUUAUUGGAUGCUUCUUUGGAGUCGGGUUUGGGCUGCGCCGCCAGCGGCUGGCGGAUGAUUUAAAGAGGCGGAGCUUCCUUCUUAUUUUCUAAAUUUUGUCAUUUUGUUGUAAAUAAAAAGUAAAACCGAAUGUCCUGCGAAAAAUACAAAUGUACAAAUAUAUAAAUGGCCUUUUUCUCCCCCCCGGUCCCCCCUCCCCCACUGGUGCUGAAUUUUUAAUGACUGCGAAACAGCGCCACCUUGUGGUGACGCCUUUCAUCAGAAAAACCCCAAACUUUGUGUUGUCUUCAUCACCUCAUGACGUCCUUCCAUCCCCGAUGGAGGGAGGUGUGUCCUUGUGAGCGGAGGAGCCAGGGGCAUGCUGGGAAAUGCAGUAUCUCAAACGGCGGCACUGUGACGGAGGACGGGCGAAAACGUUUUGAAAACAAACGUUUCCUUUCUGCCAUGUAGUUUUGAAACCCAGGAGAUUACUCAUAUAUGAUGUAAAGUCUGAUGUUUGUUGUCGUUUUAUUUCCUGUUUGGUUCCUGCCUGAAUCACGAUGCAUUCUGGUCGCUGUCGUCCUGUGAGUUCUGGUUCUGUUGCUGGUUCUGGUUCAGUGGGUUCUUUCGCCAUGUUAACGUUGAUUUCUGUGUGAAUGAAUUUAGUUUUUUUGUGGCACUAAACGUAAAAGAAGAGAAAUAGUUACAGAAAAUAAAGCUAAGUGUAUUCAAGAAGGAAAUGUUUUUCUACAUCAAAAUGUCUCCAUAUUCUAUUCUUUCAAAGACAAAAAAAAAUCUGUUUUUUUUAUAUUUUCUUAUUGGAUGCUUAUAAAGUAAUGUUGUAAAGUUAAAGCAUUUAUCUGAUUGGCUCCAGAGAGGUCAGAGGUCACAGGCCUCCUUGUGUUAGCCUGCGCUGCAUGAGCAGGAGAAAUAAAUUAUAUUUCAGAGAGAAAGUGUUACAAUAUGAACCUGUGUUUGAUAAAAAGUCACUGCUAAUAAAAAGAUUUAAGUUCCACUCAAAAA
Poecilia latipinna (sailfin molly) is the source of this 2122-nucleotide long non-coding RNA. RefSeq lists it as uncharacterized. Lineage: Eukaryota; Metazoa; Chordata; Actinopteri; Cyprinodontiformes; Poeciliidae. The record is from RefSeq and is a predicted model, not a curated record. The transcript is spliced from 2 exons.